GCAGUCUCCUCUGUGUACCUCCUGGCGUGGUAGCAAGGGGAGAUGGCGGACUGAGAUUGAUGCCUACGACGUGCCGGAUUCUUAGCAUUACUACUUACGGCAACUACUGGGGCUGGUGAAGACUUGUUCACAGAUCAGCAUCAGUCUGAAGAAUAUAGAAACCAUUGCUCUGGCCAGUGCUUCUCAACCACACAGAUAAUAUAAUAAUAUUUGUAAGCACUCUCGAGUAGAAGAGUGAGGAUGCUCAUCACCAAAGACAGCAGGCUUAAGAGUCUGACCACCCCAAGACUCUGCCUCGCCAUCCCAAAGAGAAGACCUUUAAUAUUUCCACACAUCUGGAAUCCAUACCUGUUGCAAAUCUCUGUAUUAGAAACCCAACCCAGUCCAUGAUACAUGGAUUCUUGUUAGUGUUCAUCUCAGAAGUAUGCCUUUUCCUUACAUUGAGUUAGGACUACAUCUUCCUCUGGGGACUUUUGUCCUCUAACUGCAGUAAUACUGAAACAACUUAAGAGGACAAAGACCAAAUCGUUUUCAAGCCCCAUGAAGCAUUUCAAAAGUUCUACUCACAACAGGCCCCGGUGUGUGAUGUUCCCCUUCCUGUGUCCAUGUGUUCUCAUUGUUCAAUUCCCACCCAUGAGUGAGAACAUGCGGUGUUUGGUUUUUUGUCCUUGCAAUAGUUUGCUGAGAAUGAUAGUUUCCAGCUUCAUCCAUGUCCCUACAAAGGACAUGAACUCAUCAUUUUUUAUGGCUGCAUAGUAUUCCAUGGUGUCUAUGUGCCACAGAGUGGGGAGGGAUAGCAUUAGGAGAUGUACCUAAUGCUAAAUGACGAGUUAAUGGGUGCAGCACACCAACAUGGCACAUGUAUACAUAUGUAACAAACCUGCACAUUGUGCACAUGUACCCUAAAACUUAAAGUAUAAUAAUAAUAAUAAUAAAACAAAGAAAGAAAAAAA
Molecule: long non-coding RNA, 953 nt
Filed under: Homo sapiens (human)
Lineage: Eukaryota; Metazoa; Chordata; Mammalia; Primates; Hominidae
Description: non-protein coding lnc-AK3-5:1
Source: RNAcentral